GAGCAUUUGGUCUAGUGGUAUGAUUCUCGAUUUGGGUGCGAGAGGUCCUGAGUUCAUUUCCUGGAAUGCCCC
Molecule: non-coding RNA, 72 nt
Organism: Citrus sinensis (sweet orange)
Lineage: Eukaryota; Viridiplantae; Streptophyta; Magnoliopsida; Sapindales; Rutaceae
Source: Rfam